Molecule: ribosomal RNA, 789 nt
Filed under: Escherichia coli
Lineage: Bacteria; Pseudomonadati; Pseudomonadota; Gammaproteobacteria; Enterobacterales; Enterobacteriaceae
Description: partial 23S ribosomal RNA
Rfam family: Bacterial large subunit ribosomal RNA
Source: RNAcentral
GAAGUGUGGACGCCAGUCUGCAUGGAGCCGACCUUGAAAUACCACCCUUUAAUGUUUGAUGUUCUAACGUUGACCCGUGAUCCGGGUUGCGGACAGUGUCUGGUGGGUAGUUUGACUGGGGCGGUCUCCUCCUAAAGAGUAACGGAGGAGCACGAAGGUUGGCUAAUCCUGGUCGGACAUCAGGAGGUUAGUGCAAUGGCAUAAGCCAGCUUGACUGCGAGCGUGACGGCGCGAGCAGGUGCGAAAGCAGGUCAUAGUGAUCCGGUGGUUCUGAAUGGAAGGGCCAUCGCUCAACGGAUAAAAGGUACUCCGGGGAUAACAGGCUGAUACCGCCCAAGAGUUCAUAUCGACGGCGGUGUUUGGCACCUCGAUGUCGGCUCAUCACAUCCUGGGGCUGAAGUAGGUCCCAAGGGUAUGGCUGUUCGCCAUUUAAAGUGGUACGCGAGCUGGGUUUAGAACGUCGUGAGACAGUUCGGUCCCUAUCUGCCGUGGGCGCUGGAGAACUGAGGGGGGCUGCUCCUAGUACGAGAGGACCGGAGUGGACGCAUCACUGGUGUUCGGGUUGUCAUGCCAAUGGCACUGCCCGGUAGCUAAAUGCGGAAGAGAUAAGUGCUGAAAGCAUCUAAGCACGAAACUUGCCCCGAGAUGAGUUCUCCCUGACUCCUUGAGAGUCCUGAAGGAACGUUGAAGACGACGACGUUGAUAGGCCGGGUGUGUAAGCGCAGCGAUGCGUUGAGCUAACCGGUACUAAUGAACCGUGAGGCUUAACCUUACAACGCCGAAGCUGUU